UACAGAGGUCUCAAGCGUUGUUCGGAUUCAUUGGGCGUAAAGGGUGUGUAGGUGGCUCCGCAAGUCGGGUGUGAAAUUUCGGAGCUUAACUCCGAAACUGCAUUCGAUACUGCGGUGCUUGAGGACUGGAGAGGAGGCUGGAAUUUACGGUGUAGCGGUGAAAUGCGUAGAUAUCGGAAGGAAGACCAGUGGCGAAGGCGGGUCUCUGGGCAGAUCCUGACGCUGAGGCACGAAAGUCAGGGGAGCAAACGGG
This 253-nucleotide ribosomal RNA is filed under the name uncultured bacterium. RNAcentral describes it as "partial 16S ribosomal RNA". It matches the Rfam family "Bacterial small subunit ribosomal RNA", at positions 524 to 776 of the family's 1533-position model. The record is from RNAcentral.